GCUGGGCAUGGUGGUGCAUGCCUGUAAUCCCAGCUACUUGGGAGGCUGAGGCAGGAGAAUCGCUUGAACUCGGGAGGCAGAGGUUGCAGUGAGCUGAGAUCGUACCACUGCACUCCAGCCUGAGUGAUACAGCAAGACUCUGUCUCAA
This is a non-coding RNA of Homo sapiens (human), 148 nucleotides long. It matches the Rfam family "Metazoan signal recognition particle RNA". From Rfam's summary of the family: The signal recognition particle (SRP) is a universally conserved ribonucleoprotein. The record is from Rfam. Lineage: Eukaryota; Metazoa; Chordata; Mammalia; Primates; Hominidae.